UACGGGGGGAGCAAGCGUUGUUCGGAUUUACUGGGCGUAAAGCGUGCGCAGGCGGCUUUGCAAGACAGGUGUGAAAUCCCCGGGCUUAACCUGGGAACUGCAUUUGUGACUGCAUAGCUAGAGUACGGCAGAGGGGGAUGGAAUUUCGCAUGUAGCAGUGAAAUGCGUAGAUAUGCGGAGGAACACCGAUGGCGAAGGCAGCCCCCUGGGCUAGCACUGACGCCCAGGCACGAAAGCGUGGGGAGCAAACAGG
RNAcentral lists this ribosomal RNA (253 nucleotides) under uncultured bacterium. Its description in RNAcentral is "partial 16S ribosomal RNA". It matches the Rfam family "Bacterial small subunit ribosomal RNA", at positions 524 to 776 of the family's 1533-position model. The record is from RNAcentral.